CAAUAUGAGAAAGCUGACUUCCGUUAGUCCCGUUAGCGUCCCAUUUCAUCCCAUUUCCUCGGUGUCGUUGAACGUGGAAGCAUGUCGAUCAAUUUCUUUUGCGUAAUAAAAAAAAGGAAGAAUGCAAAAUGGAAAAGGAUGAUGACUUAUAAAAUGAAGAAAUAAGACUUGUACAUCAACAAUCAACAAUUCUUAAUCAUGAUGUUAUUAAUGGAAAAGGAUGAUGACUUAUAAAAUGAAGAAAUAAGACUUGUACAUCAACAAUCAACAAUUCUUAAUCAUGAUGUUAUUAAUGGUCAGUAUUCUGGGUGUUUUUAUAAUAAUUAUGUAAAUGUUUUUAUUCUUCGAUUAUACUAGUAAUCAUGAUGUUAUUAAUGGUCCGUGUUUCUGAAUGAUAGUGAUUUCUUUUACCAUUGCUGAUUAAUUAUAAAUUUCAUAUUUGUUUCACAAUUUUUGAGAUAUAUGGUUUAUUGAAAAAGAAAUGAUGUGAUUACAGGAAAAGGAUGAUGACUUAUAAAAUGAAGAAAUAAGACUUGUACAUCAACAAUCAACAAUUCUUAAUCAUGAUGUUAUUAAUGGUCAGUAUUCUGGGUGUUUUUAUAAUAAUUAUGUAAAUGUUUUUAUUCUUCGAUUAUACUAGUAAUCAUGAUGUUAUUAAUGGUCCGUGUUUCUGAAUGAUAGUGAUUUCUUUUACCAUUGCUGAUUAAUUAUAAAUUUCAUAUUUGUUUCACAAUUUUUGAGAUAUAUGGUUUAUUGAAAAAGAAAUGAUGUGAUUACAGGAAAAGGAUGAUGACUUAUAAAAUGAAGAAAUAAGACUUGUACAUCAACAAUCAACAAUUCUUAAUCAUGAUGUUAUUAAUGGUCAGUAUUCUGGGUGUUUUUAUAAUAAUUAUGUAAAUGUUUUUAUUCUUCGAUUAUACUAGUAAUCAUGAUGUUAUUAAUGGUCCGUGUUUCUGAAUGAUAGUGAUUUCUUUUACCAUUGCUGAUUAAUUAUAAAUUUCAUAUUUGUUUCACAAUUUUUGAGAUAUAUGGUUUAUUGAAAAAGAAAUGAUGUGAUUACAGGAAAAGGAUGAUGACUUAUAAAAUGAAGAAAUAAGACUUGUACAUCAACAAUCAACAAUUCUUAAUCAUGAUGUUAUUAAUGGUCAGUAUUCUGGGUGUUUUUAUAAUAAUUAUGUAAAUGUUUUUAUUCUUCGAUUAUACUAGUAAUCAUGAUGUUAUUAAUGGUCCGUGUUUCUGAAUGAUAGUGAUUUCUUUUACCAUUGCUGAUUAAUUAUAAAUUUCAUAUUUGUUUCACAAUUUUUGAGAUAUAUGGUUUAUUGAAAAAGAAAUGAUGUGAUUACAGGAAAAGGAUGAUGACUUAUAAAAUGAAGAAAUAAGACUUGUACAUCAACAAUCAACAAUUCUUAAUCAUGAUGUUAUUAAUGGUCAGUAUUCUGGGUGUUUUUAUAAUAAUUAUGUAAAUGUUUUUAUUCUUCGAUUAUACUAGUAAUCAUGAUGUUAUUAAUGGUCCGUGUUUCUGAAUGAUAGUGAUUUCUUUUACCAUUGCUGAUUAAUUAUAAAUUUCAUAUUUGUUUCACAAUUUUUGAGAUAUAUGGUUUAUUGAAAAAGAAAUGAUGUGAUUACAGGAAAAGGAUGAUGACUUAUAAAAUGAAGAAAUAAGACUUGUACAUCAACAAUCAACAAUUCUUAAUCAUGAUGUUAUUAAUGGAAAAGGAUGAUGACUUAUAAAAUGAAGAAAUAAGACUUGUACAUCAACAAUCAACAAUUCUUAAUCAUGAUGUUAUUAAUGGAAAAGGAUGGUGACAUAAGAUGAAGAAGUUAGACCUGUUAUCAACAAUCAAUUUAAUCUUUAAUACUGUGAAAAAACAUAAUUUAUUAUUCACAUCCCUGUAAAUAUAUAUUCAUUUCUAAAAAUAUUAAUCUAUUUACACAUUUUGAAGUCUAAGAAAAAAAAAUCUUUGAUCGGCGAUUGUGCACAAUAAUGUUGAUGACAUAUAAAUCCUUUAUAAAUAUAUAUAAUAAAAUCAAAUUUAAUUUU
Long non-coding RNA from Formica exsecta, 2041 nucleotides. RefSeq lists it as uncharacterized. The record is from RefSeq and is a predicted model, not a curated record. Lineage: Eukaryota; Metazoa; Arthropoda; Insecta; Hymenoptera; Formicidae. The transcript has 5 exons.